RNAcentral lists this ribosomal RNA (409 nucleotides) under Gemella haemolysans. RNAcentral describes it as "bacterial SSU rRNA". It matches the Rfam family "Bacterial small subunit ribosomal RNA", at positions 28 to 424 of the family's 1533-position model. The record is from RNAcentral. Lineage: Bacteria; Bacillati; Bacillota; Bacilli; Caryophanales; Gemellaceae.
GACGAACGCUGGCGGCGUGCCUAAUACAUGCAAGUCGAGCGAAGUUUUUCUGGUGUUUGCACUAGAAAAACUUAGCGGCGAACGGGUGAGUAACACGUAAAGAACCUGCCUCACAGACUGGGACAACUAUUGGAAACGAUAGCUAAUACCGGAUAACAGCAUUAACUGCAUGGUUGAUGUUUAAAAGUUGGUUUUGCUAACACUAUGAGAUGGCUUUGCGGUGCAUUAGCUAGUUGGUGGGGUAAAGGCCUACCAAGGCGACGAUGCAUAGCCGACCUGAGAGGGUGAUCGGCCACACUGGGACUGAGACACGGCCCAGACUCCUACGGGAGGCAGCAGUAGGGAAUCUUCCGCAAUGGGCGAAAGCCUGACGGAGCAACGCCGCGUGAGUGAAGAAGGAUUUCGGUUC